ACCAACUUAACCCAGUGGUUAGAGUAUUGCUUUCAUACGGCGGGAGUUAUUGGUUCAAAUCCAAUAGUAGGUA
Molecule: transfer RNA, 73 nt
Filed under: Tetracentron sinense
Lineage: Eukaryota; Viridiplantae; Streptophyta; Magnoliopsida; Trochodendrales; Trochodendraceae
Rfam family: tRNA
About the family: Transfer RNA (tRNA) molecules are approximately 80 nucleotides in length. Their secondary structure includes four short double-helical elements and three loops (D, anti-codon, and T loops).
Source: Rfam by way of RNAcentral